UACCUGGUUGAUCCUGCCAGUAGUCAUAUGCUUGUCUCAAAGAUUAAGCCAUGCUUGUGUAAGUAUGAACUAUUUCAAACUGUGAAA
This 87-nucleotide ribosomal RNA is filed under the name Eucalyptus retusa. RNAcentral's name for it is "partial 18S ribosomal RNA". It matches the Rfam family "Eukaryotic small subunit ribosomal RNA", at positions 1 to 86 of the family's 1831-position model. The record is from RNAcentral. Lineage: Eukaryota; Viridiplantae; Streptophyta; Magnoliopsida; Myrtales; Myrtaceae.